Molecule: ribosomal RNA, 486 nt
Filed under: uncultured bacterium
Lineage: Bacteria
Description: partial 16S ribosomal RNA
Rfam family: Bacterial small subunit ribosomal RNA
Source: RNAcentral
AUUGAACGCUGGCGGCAGGCCUUACACAUGCAAGUCGAACGGCAGCACGGGAGCUUGCUGCUGGUGGCGAGUGGCGAACGGGUGAGUAAUACAUCGGAACAGGUCCUGUAGUGGGGGAGAGCCCGGCGAAAGCCGGAUUAAUACCGCAUACGAUCUACGGCUGAGAGCGGGGGACCUGCGGGCCCCGCGCUAGCGGGAUGGCCGAUGGCUGAUUAGCUAGUUGGAGGGGUAAAGGCCUACCAAGGCGACGAUCAGUAGCUGGUCUGAGAGGAAGACCAGCCACACUGGGACUGAGACACGGCCCAGACUCCUACGGGAGGCCGCAGUGGGGAAUUUUGGACAAUGGGCGAAAGCCUGAUCCAGCAAUGCCGCGUGUGUGAAGAAGGCCUUCGGGUUGUAAAGCACUUUUGUCCGGAAAGAAAUCCUUCGCCCUAAUACCGUCGGGUGAUGACGGUACCGGAAGAAUAAGCACCAGCUAACUACGUG